Molecule: ribosomal RNA, 466 nt
Filed under: uncultured bacterium
Lineage: Bacteria
Description: bacterial SSU rRNA
Rfam family: Bacterial small subunit ribosomal RNA
Source: RNAcentral
AUUGAACGCUGGCGGAAUGCUUUACACAUGCAAGUCGAACGGCAGCACGGGUGCUUGCACCUGGUGGCGAGUGGCGAACGGGUGAGUAAUGCACCGGAACGUAUCCAAUAAUGGGGGAUAACGCACCGAAAGGUGUGCUAAUACCGCAUACGAUCUACGGAUGAAAGCGGGGGAUCGCAAGACCUCGCGCGAAUGGAGCGGCCGAUGUCAGAUUAGGUAGUUGGUGGGGUAAAGGCUCACCAAGCCAACGAUCUGUAGCUGGUCUGAGAGGAUGAUCAGCCACACUGGGACUGAGACACGGCCCAGACUCCUACGGGAGGCAGCAGUGGGGAAUUUUGGACAAUGGGCGAAAGCCUGAUCCAGCCAUUCCGCGCGCAGGAUGAAGGCCCUCGGGUUGUAAACUGCUUUUGUACAGAACGAAAAAGCUCUUUCUAAUACAGAGAGUCCAUGACGGUACUGUAAGAAU